RNAcentral lists this ribosomal RNA (253 nucleotides) under uncultured bacterium. Its description in RNAcentral is "partial 16S ribosomal RNA". It matches the Rfam family "Bacterial small subunit ribosomal RNA", at positions 524 to 776 of the family's 1533-position model. The record is from RNAcentral.
UACGUAGGAGACAAACGUUAUCCGGAGUUACUGGGCGUAAAGGGCGUGUAGGCGGUAGUGUAAGUCUGGCGUGAAAUUUUUCGGCUUAACCGGGAAAGGUCGUCGGAUACUGCACAACUAGAGGACGGUAGAGGCGUGUGGAAUUCCGGGUGUAGUGGUGAAAUGCGUAGAGAUCCGGAGGAACACCAGUGGCGAAGGCGACACGCUGGGCCGUACCUGACACUGAUGCGCGACAGCAUGGGGAGCAAACAGG